Molecule: ribosomal RNA, 2047 nt
Filed under: Vibrio diabolicus
Lineage: Bacteria; Pseudomonadati; Pseudomonadota; Gammaproteobacteria; Vibrionales; Vibrionaceae
Description: bacterial SSU rRNA
Rfam family: Bacterial small subunit ribosomal RNA (bases 817-2047)
Source: RNAcentral
AGGUUUUAAUCCUGUUCUGGUUUACCACCAUCCGGGUGUUUAGGAUCGUUCGCAAUUCUCACUUUUAGCGUUCUCUCCAUAUAUUCCUUUUCAUUAAGUUUAUCGAUAGCUGGCUUGGCAUCUGCCGCAGCCAUCACGACAAAACCAAACCCUCUUCUUUUUCCAGUGCGCUUAUCUUUCAUUAAGCGUACUGCAUAGACCUGUCCAUAUUCAGCAAACAAAUCGCGAACGUGACUCUCAUUGGCCUUAUAAGGAAGGUUGCCGACAUACAGAGUUUUAGUUGAUGGAUCCGAGUCUGUUGAUUGAAUAGAAGGUGUCUGGCUAGAAAAUGAAAAUAAAAAAGCAGUAGCGAUAACACCAAUGAGAAAACUCAAGGCUGGUGGGAUGGUGACUUGAGAGAAGACGAUUCCCCCAACGACGGCCAGCCCAGCACAUAAAAUCAGAUUUUUUUUAGACGUCAUUUUAAUUACUACACAUAGUGAUAAAGAGAUCGAUUGUCCAUUAACAGAAUAGACACAUGAAUCUUACGUAUAUGGUUGGUGUUUUUCCAACCAAUUGCUGUGAUAUGUCUCAAAUGUGACGAAGAAAUAUGCAAAUAUCACGCUUUUGGCUAACUAAUGACCUGUUGAAAGUUUUUUUGCAAAAAACGGCGAUGAGUGUUCACACAGAUUGAUACGGUUUAUAAAGUAAAGAGACGAUACUGGGUCUGUAGCUCAGGUGGUUAGAGCGUUCGCCUGAUAAGCGAGAGGUCGGUGGUUCGAGUCCACUCAGACCCACCAAUUUCCUUCCCAAGGAAUUGGCGACAGUAUCGACACCUUGAUGGGGCUAUAGCUCAGCUGGGAGAGCGCCUGCCUUGCACGCAGGAGGUCUGCGGUUCGAUCCCGCAUAGCUCCACCAUCUUUAAGUGUUCUUGAAAAAGAAUCUUUAAAAAUGGUUUUCAUCAGAAAAUCUAGCUCUUUAACAAUUUGGAAAGCUGAGCGUGCUCGUUUGACGUUAGCUGCAGAAGAAGCACCGGCUAACUCCGUGCCAGCAGCCGCGGUAAUACGGAGGGUGCGAGCGUUAAUCGGAAUUACUGGGCGUAAAGCGCAUGCAGGUGGUUUGUUAAGUCAGAUGUGAAAGCCCGGGGCUCAACCUCGGAAUAGCAUUUGAAACUGGCAGACUAGAGUACUGUAGAGGGGGGUAGAAUUUCAGGUGUAGCGGUGAAAUGCGUAGAGAUCUGAAGGAAUACCGGUGGCGAAGGCGGCCCCCUGGACAGAUACUGACACUCAGAUGCGAAAGCGUGGGGAGCAAACAGGAUUAGAUACCCUGGUAGUCCACGCCGUAAACGAUGUCUACUUGGAGGUUGUGGCCUUGAGCCGUGGCUUUCGGAGCUAACGCGUUAAGUAGACCGCCUGGGGAGUACGGUCGCAAGAUUAAAACUCAAAUGAAUUGACGGGGGCCCGCACAAGCGGUGGAGCAUGUGGUUUAAUUCGAUGCAACGCGAAGAACCUUACCUACUCUUGACAUCCAGAGAACUUUCCAGAGAUGGAUUGGUGCCUUCGGGAACUCUGAGACAGGUGCUGCAUGGCUGUCGUCAGCUCGUGUUGUGAAAUGUUGGGUUAAGUCCCGCAACGAGCGCAACCCUUAUCCUUGUUUGCCAGCGAGUAAUGUCGGGAACUCCAGGGAGACUGCCGGUGAUAAACCGGAGGAAGGUGGGGACGACGUCAAGUCAUCAUGGCCCUUACGAGUAGGGCUACACACGUGCUACAAUGGCGCAUACAGAGGGCGGCCAACUUGCGAAAGUGAGCGAAUCCCAAAAAGUGCGUCGUAGUCCGGAUUGGAGUCUGCAACUCGACUCCAUGAAGUCGGAAUCGCUAGUAAUCGUGGAUCAGAAUGCCACGGUGAAUACGUUCCCGGGCCUUGUACACACCGCCCGUCACACCAUGGGAGUGGGCUGCAAAAGAAGUAGGUAGUUUAACCUUCGGGGGGACGCUUACCACUUUGUGGUUCAUGACUGGGGUGAAGUCGUAACAAGGUAGCGCUAGGGGAACCUGGCGCUGGAUCACCU